This 1326-nucleotide ribosomal RNA is filed under the name Salmonella enterica subsp. enterica serovar Agona. RNAcentral describes it as "partial 23S ribosomal RNA". It matches the Rfam family "Bacterial large subunit ribosomal RNA", at positions 909 to 2215 of the family's 2925-position model. Lineage: Bacteria; Pseudomonadati; Pseudomonadota; Gammaproteobacteria; Enterobacterales; Enterobacteriaceae. The record is from RNAcentral.
ACUGUUUCGGCUAGGGGGCCAUCCCGGCUUACCAACCCGAUGCAAACUGCGAAUACCGGAGAAUGUUAUCACGGGAGACACACGGCGGGUGCUAACGUCCGUCGUGAAGAGGGAAACAACCCAGACCGCCAGCUAAGGUCCCAAAGUCAUGGUUAAGUGGGAAACGAUGUGGGAAGGCCCAGACAGCCAGGAUGUUGGCUUAGAAGCAGCCAUCAUUUAAAGAAAGCGUAAUAGCUCACUGGUCGAGUCGGCCUGCGCGGAAGAUGUAACGGGGCUAAACCAUGCACCGAAGCUGCGGCAGCGACACUCAGGUGUUGUUGGGUAGGGGAGCGUUCUGUAAGCCUGCGAAGGUGGCCUGUGAGGGUUGCUGGAGGUAUCAGAAGUGCGAAUGCUGACAUAAGUAACGAUAAAGCGGGUGAAAAGCCCGCUCGCCGGAAGACCAAGGGUUCCUGUCCAACGUUAAUCGGGGCAGGGUGAGUCGACCCCUAAGGCGAGGCCGAAAGGCGUAGUCGAUGGGAAACGGGUUAAUAUUCCCGUACUUGGUGUUACUGCGAAGGGGGGACGGAGAAGGCUAUGUUGGCCGGGCGACGGUUGUCCCGGUUUAAGCGUGUAGGUGUGUGUUCCAGGUAAAUCCGGUUCACUUUAACACUGAGGCGUGACGACGAGGCACUACGGUGCUGAAGCAACAAAUGCCCUGCUUCCAGGAAAAGCCUCUAAGCAUCAGGUAACAUCAAAUCGUACCCCAAACCGACACAGGUGGUCAGGUAGAGAAUACCAAGGCGCUUGAGAGAACUCGGGUGAAGGAACUAGGCAAAAUGGUGCCGUAACUUCGGGAGAAGGCACGCUGACACGUAGGUGAAGUGAUUUACUCAUGGAGCUGAAGUCAGUCGAAGAUACCAGCUGGCUGCAACUGUUUAUUAAAAACACAGCACUGUGCAAACACGAAAGUGGACGUAUACGGUGUGACGCCUGCCCGGUGCCGGAAGGUUAAUUGAUGGGGUCAGCGCAAGCGAAGCUCCUGAUCGAAGCCCCGGUAAACGGCGGCCGUAACUAUAACGGUCCUAAGGUAGCGAAAUUCCUUGUCGGGUAAGUUCCGACCUGCACGAAUGGCGUAAUGAUGGCCAGGCUGUCUCCACCCGAGACUCAGUGAAAUUGAACUCGCUGUGAAGAUGCAGUGUACCCGCGGCAAGACGGAAAGACCCCGUGAACCUUUACUAUAGCUUGACACUGAACAUUGAGCCUUGAUGUGUAGGAUAGGUGGGAGGCUUUGAAGUGUGGACGCCAGUCUGCAUGGAGCCGACCUUGAAAUACCACCCUUUAAUGUUU